GAUGAAGAACGUAGCGAAAUGCGAUACUUGGUGUGAAUUGCAGAAUCCCGUGAACCAUCGAGUCUUUGAACGCAAGUUGCGCCCGAAGCCACUAGGCCGAGGGCACGCCUGCCUGGGCGUCACACGUCGUUGCCCCCCCCCCAUCUACUCCUUCGGGAUUGCGGGGGGCGGAUGAUGGCCUCCCGUGCGCCUAGCCGCGCGGUUGGCAUAAAUACCAAGUCCUCGGCGACGCACGCCACGACAAUCGGUGGUUGCGAAACCUCGGUUGCCCGUCGUGUGCGUUCGUCGCGCAUCGAGGGCUCGAAAAAAUGCUCGGCUCCGGCUUGGCUUUCAACGCGACCCCAGGUCAGGCGGGGUUACCCGCUGAAUUUAAGCAUAUCAAUAAGCGGAGGA
RNAcentral lists this unclassified non-coding RNA (393 nucleotides) under soil metagenome. RNAcentral's name for it is "partial contains 5.8S ribosomal RNA, internal transcribed spacer 2, and large subunit ribosomal RNA". The stretch from base 1 to 122 matches the Rfam family "5.8S ribosomal RNA", at positions 35 to 154 of the family's 154-position model. The record is from RNAcentral.